This 253-nucleotide ribosomal RNA is filed under the name uncultured bacterium. Its description in RNAcentral is "partial 16S ribosomal RNA". It matches the Rfam family "Bacterial small subunit ribosomal RNA", at positions 524 to 776 of the family's 1533-position model. The record is from RNAcentral.
UACGUAGGGGCCUAGCGUUGUCCGGAAUUAUUGGGCGUAAAGAGCUCGUAGGCGGUUUGUCGCGUCUGCUGUGAAAACCGGAGGCUCAACCUCCGGCCUGCAGUGGGUACGGGCAAACUAGAGUGCGGUAGGGGAGAUUGGAAUUCCUGGUGUAGCGGUGGAAUGCGCAGAUAUCAGGAGGAACACCGAUGGCGAAGGCAGAUCUCUGGGCCGUAACUGACGCUGAGGAGCGAAAGCGUGGGGAGCGAACUGG